This 477-nucleotide ribosomal RNA is filed under the name uncultured bacterium. RNAcentral's name for it is "SSU rRNA". It matches the Rfam family "Bacterial small subunit ribosomal RNA", at positions 26 to 518 of the family's 1533-position model. The record is from RNAcentral.
AGAAUCAACGCUGGCGGCGUGCCUAACACAUGCAAGUCGAACGAGAAAGUGGAGCAAUCCAUGAGUACAGUGGCGACCGGGUGAGUAACACGUGACCAAUCUACCUUCGAGUGGGGGAUAACUCCGGGAAACCGGGGCUAAUACCGCAUAACAUCUUUGGAAUGCAAAUUCCGUUGAUCAAAGGAGCAAUUCGCUUGAAGAGGAGGUCGCGGCUGAUUAGCUAGUUGGCGGGUAAUGGCCCACCAAGGCGAAGAUCGGUAUCCGGCCUGAGAGGGCGCGACGGACGACGACUGGAACUGAACACGGUCCAGACUCCUACGGGAGGCAGCAGUGGGGAAUUUUGCGCAAUGGGGGAAACCCUGACGCAGCAACGCCGCGUGGAGGAUGAAGUCCCUUGGGACGUAAACUCCUUUCGACCAAGACGAUAAUGACGGUACUGGUGGAAGAAGCACCGGCUAACUCUGUGCCAGCAGCCGC